UCCACGCUCUGGCAGUUUAUGUUCUUUUGCUGUUUGUAAUAAAUCUUGCUACUGCUGACUCUGUGGGUCCACACUUCUUUUAUGAGCUGUAACACUCAUCGCGAAGGUCUGCAGCUUUGUUCCUGAAGCCAGCAAGACCAGGAACCCGCGGGGAGGAAUGAACAACUCCAGACGCGCUGCCUUAAGAGCUGUAAUAUCGCGAAGGUCUGCAGCUUUACUCCUGAGCCAGCGAGACCACGAACCCACCAGAAGGGGAAAACUCCAAACACAUCCGAACAUCAGAAGGAAGAAACUCCGCCUUUAAAAACUGUAACACACACCGCGAGGGUCCGCAGCUUCAUUCUUGAAGUCAGUGAGACCAAGAACCCACCAGUUCCGGACACACUCACACACUUCGGUUUGGAAUUGUGAAAAGAGGAAGCAAAAUAACUUCACAAAUGCAUCAUGUCUCCUCCUCCAAAGGGUCAAGUGGAGUUUGCCUAUGAAUUGUGAGGAAAAGUUCUACCUAAAACAAAUGAUCUCAAGAGAGAGCCUUACAGGCAAAGUGAACCAUGCCUAAGAGGAUGUUCUAGGAGUAAAACGUGGGAACUUCAAGUACUUGCUGAUUACUAAUGUCCCAUCAAGGAAAAUGUGGAAGGAAAAGGUAAAGGGAGAUAAAGCACCAGUAGCCAGGGACAUUCCAUGGCCUCUUGAAGCAGCUUACUCUUGGUGGACCAGAGAUCAAGUAAUUAGUGUAAACGAGAUGACGUCAGAAUAAAUUACAAAGAGACUCAGCCCGCCUGCACUCAGGUGAAAUAAACAGCCUUGUUGCUCACACAAAGCCUGUUUGGUGGUCUCUUCACAAGGACUCGUGAGACACUUGGUGCCAAAGACCUGGGUCAGUGGGACUCCUUCGGGAGACCAGUCCCCUGUCCUCACCCUCACUCUGUGAAGAGAUCCACCUACGACCUUUGGUCCUCAGACCAACCAACCCAAGGAACAUCUCACCGAUUUUAAAUUGGGACCCCACUGGAAAUUGUACUGUCCAACACGCCAGGCAGCCACUCCCAGAGCCCCUGGAACUCUGGCCCAAGGCUCUCUGAUUGACUCUUUCCUGGAUCAUCUCAGCUUAGCAGCUGAAGACUGAUGCUGCCCGAUUGCCUCGGAAGCCUCCUGGACCAUCACAGACGCUUUGGACAACUCUUAUAGUGGAGGAAGAGAGUGUGAACACAGUUUACCACUGCCAAAGAUUAUGCAGUUGAGUUCUCCACAUUUGGGGAAAUUGCAGGGAUCAGCACAUCCAGAGUGCAACGGAUAAGCCUCACCCUGGGAUAACCACCUUUGAGAUGAUGGUAUUUCACCUCCUAGGUAAGUAUGAAAGUAUUCUUGAAUUAAUUAGUGGUGUAGAUUGCAUAACCUUGUGAACUUACC
Molecule: long non-coding RNA, 1410 nt
Organism: Symphalangus syndactylus (siamang)
Lineage: Eukaryota; Metazoa; Chordata; Mammalia; Primates; Hylobatidae
Source: RefSeq, a predicted model, not a curated record